This 253-nucleotide ribosomal RNA is filed under the name uncultured bacterium. RNAcentral's name for it is "partial 16S ribosomal RNA". It matches the Rfam family "Archaeal small subunit ribosomal RNA", at positions 474 to 727 of the family's 1478-position model. The record is from RNAcentral.
UACCAGCACCCCGAGUGGUCGGGUCGAUUAUUGGGCCUAAAGCAUCCGUAGCCGGUCAUGCAAGUCCUCCGUUAAAUCCAGCCGCUCAACGGUUGGGCUGCGGAGGAUACUACGUGGCUAGGAGGCGGGAGAGGCAAGCGGUACUCAGUGGGUAGGGGUAAAAUCCUUUGAUCCAUUGAAGACCACCAGUGGCGAAGGCGGCUUGCCAGAACGCGCUCGACGGUGAGGGAUGAAAGCUGGGGGAGCAAACCGG